CUCCAAGGCUCUCACUCUGUAGUGUUAAGUUUGUAUCUCACAUUUCUCUCCCUAAAACUCAAGAGCUGGUUGAUAAGUUAGCUUCUGAAAGCCCUCAUCUUGAACCGCUUCUACUACUAGGGAACUUGUAGAAGAUAUGGAUAACAAGGUUCUUUUGAUCUGUGUUGGAGUAUGUUUUCUGGGGCUCAUAGCUGGUACACUAGGUGUAGGUGACGAAUCUGAGAUGGCUAAUGGAUCGCAUGCUGAAAUUGUCCAGGUCAACAUCAAGAAGACAAAGAACCAACAUUUUGCUGUGAUCGAAAUCAAUGAUUCAAAAACUCUGUCUGAGGAAAGACGUUCCAUAUUCUAACUAUUCCAAAUCAUCACCUCCCUCAUCUUCAUUACCUACUCCUUCUAACAUAUCUGAACCUCCACAGUCAUCAUACCCUCCUUCACUGGAAAAUCUGUCACAACUCCCUCAUGUACUCACCCACAAAAAUUCAUCAAAAACAACUAAAGAAACCAACUGCACAAUCAUCGGCGAUGAAGCUGAAUGCGUUACAGAAACGACAACCACCACGGUGAACAAAACCACAUCUGCUUCAUGGUCAAAGAACGUUCCAAAUGUUGCCGGAGGCAACGACAUGGGUUCCCAUGUUUUACUCGUAGUGUUGUUCCCAUUUUUUAUCUUUGUCAACUGAAGUUAUGGUAUUUUAGGGAUGAAAACCUAGACUUGAUUAUAAUAAUUCGUAGCUAGUCAUAUUAAUUGGUUUGUAAUUCUACUAUGUCAGUAUUAUCCGAUCCCUGGUCUUAAAUUAUGUUGUGCUUCUAAAUAGCAUCAGAAUUGAGCCACUUCUAUGUUGAAUUCUUGGCGACAGAUGUUAUGAGGAGAAUCACGUAUGUAAUCGCUGUGUGGGAAUACCUAGUAAUUAAUAGUGAAUGCUUGAAAAGAUAGGUCGGUUGUACCUAGAUA
Molecule: long non-coding RNA, 952 nt
Organism: Papaver somniferum (opium poppy)
Lineage: Eukaryota; Viridiplantae; Streptophyta; Magnoliopsida; Ranunculales; Papaveraceae
Exons: 2
Source: RefSeq, a predicted model, not a curated record